UUAGGGGUAAAGGUCGGCGGGCUGAAAACAGAGGGCCAGAUCAUGGCAAUCGUGGAAGAUAUGACAUAAGAUCGUCCGAAAUGGAGGUGCAGUAUGCUACUUUGGAUCAAAUCCAUUUGGAACAGGCAUCCAGAGCGAGAGUUCAGUAGGUCUGCAAGAACUCACCUCAGCCAAUGCAAAGUUCAGAUGAAUGGAGUGGAUCAGAUGAAUAUGUGACUCUUUUUCCUGUUAUCCGGAAAGCAAACUUUGA
This is a long non-coding RNA of Alosa alosa (allis shad), 250 nucleotides long. RefSeq lists it as uncharacterized. Lineage: Eukaryota; Metazoa; Chordata; Actinopteri; Clupeiformes; Clupeidae. The transcript is spliced from 3 exons. The record is from RefSeq and is a predicted model, not a curated record.